AUUGAACGCUGGCGGCAUGCUUUACACAUGCAAGUCGAACGGCAGCACGGGUGCUUGCACCUGGUGGCGAGUGGCGGACGGGUGAGUAAUGCAUCGGAACGUAUCCUUAAGCGGGGGAUAACGCAUCGAAAGAUGUGCUAAUACCGCAUAAUCUCUGAGGAGAAAAGCAGGGGAUCGCAAGACCUUGCGCUUUUGGAGCGGCCGAUGUCUGAUUAGCUAGUUGGUGGGGUAAUGGCCUACCAAAGCUUCGAUCAGUAGCUGGUCUGAGAGGACGGCCAGCCACACUGGGACUGAGACACGGCCCAG
This 306-nucleotide ribosomal RNA is filed under the name uncultured bacterium. RNAcentral describes it as "bacterial SSU rRNA". It matches the Rfam family "Bacterial small subunit ribosomal RNA", at positions 30 to 334 of the family's 1533-position model. The record is from RNAcentral.